Long non-coding RNA from Daphnia pulicaria, 430 nucleotides. RefSeq lists it as uncharacterized. The transcript is spliced from 2 exons. NCBI's taxonomy places the organism in Eukaryota, Metazoa, Arthropoda, Branchiopoda, Diplostraca, Daphniidae. The record is from RefSeq and is a predicted model, not a curated record.
GUUAGAAAAGUGGUUCCUUUUUGGUUCGAGUUUCUUCGACGUCCGGCGCGACGCAGAUCCUGCUGAACGAUCUGAACAUAUUUUAGCGCUCAACCGGAACGGUGUUCACUUCCUUGAUGUCAUUACUCACGAAACUUUGAUGCACUAUCCUUAUUCCGAGGUGAUAUCUACUCGCAAAAUCAUUUCGAAAGAAGGUCCCCUUUUCCUGGACAUGAAAUGCGGAAAUUUAAGGCAGCAGCGCGUGACCCGCAUUCAAACAGAUCAGGCCCAUGAGAUAUUUCGUCUGGUUCGUCAGUAUAUCGCCAUUCAACAACGCAUCCAGCAGCAGAACGUUAAAGAAGAGAGCAAUCUGGCUUCACGCUGAUGAUCCAAUCGCUUAAAAUUACUGUUCGCCGUGGUACAUAAAGACAAAAUCGCAAAUAAAUAUUUU